Long non-coding RNA from Chroicocephalus ridibundus (black-headed gull), 2341 nucleotides. RefSeq lists it as uncharacterized. The record is from RefSeq and is a predicted model, not a curated record. The transcript is spliced from 4 exons. NCBI's taxonomy places the organism in Eukaryota, Metazoa, Chordata, Aves, Charadriiformes, Laridae.
ACAGCAUUUCCUUUCUUCUCCCUAAGAUUAUUUCUGGACUCUGCAAACCUCUUCUUCCCUGUGGCUCAAUGCUCCAGCAGCAAAGCGAUGGGGACUCUCUGGAGCUGUAGAAGCGGGUGACGCAGGAGCGGGUGAUGCAGCGGGUCUGUGAGGACAAGUCUCCAGAGGCAGAAUGAGGACACCAAGCGUGGGGAACCCAGAACGAGGGAAGCAACGAGCCUGCGCAGGAGCAAGAAAAAUACGGUAAUGUUGCUGGAAGAAAACAGCUCGGAAAUGAAUCUCAACCCAACUCCAUUUUGGAGGGAAUCUCCUGAAACAUUUUCAUUUCAGAGAAAAAUGGCAAAAUCGCUGCAGAAUGAGCAUUUGAAAAAAAAAAAAAAAAGUUGAUUAAACAGAAGAGGGAAAGAUGGAUGCAGACUGCAGGACUAAACCCCAAGGAGCUGGUGUGCGGGGGCCAGGCAGCACGGCGGGGGUCUGCCUGAAGCAGGAGGCGGCAAAUCCAGGGACCCGGCGCUGCAGCGUGGUGAAGGACAUGCUCCGUUUUCCAUAUACAACAGAAAAAGCAUCUUCCCUUUCAGUGGAAAUCCCAGCCAAAGCUAGGUGGGGCGAGGACGGCUGGUUCUGCAAGAGAAGUCCACGUGCUCCCAGACCUCGACUCGCACCCGUCCUGCCAUGGUUUCAGGUCUGGCUCCAGAUUUCCCUUGCGUCUCUCUGGAUGGAGGCAGGCGCUUGCAGCACCACUGGACACCGCGCACACCCCUUCUUUUUUGGGGAAAGCAAAUGGAAGUGCAGUUUGUUUCCAGAAUACGUCUUCUUCGCGGCUGCGCUAUUAGUGGGCGCUCGGGCCCUUCUGAGCUCAGCGGACUGAUGCAGCUGCUCGUUAACUGCACAAAAACCUGCGCCUUUACGAGGGAAGGUGUGUUGUGGUUGGCCGGUUUAUGAUGAUGGUGAUCGGGAACUGAUGUGGGAUUGCUGGAAACGGAUAAAGUGCUACUAAAACCUGUAAUGUUUUAUCUUUGAUUUGCCGAAGCACAGGAUCAGCACAUUAACAGCUCAGCUGCAAUCAGGACCUGCUUCUCUUCUUGCAGAAACUGGCACCAGGGUAAAUCUCUGAUUCAGCACACUAUUUCGGCACAAGCGAAGCACUAAGCAUGUGGAACAGACAGCGAAGUCUCUUACCCCUUUAUACCCGCCUCCAGCUGCCCAGAGAUCUGUGCAAACCUCUCUACAACCGUCCCUUAUGGAUGAGGCUUUGCCCUCCAGCCCUUGGACCUGCGAAGAGCCAGAAGAUGCAGGAGGGAUGUCAGCCUCAUGGAAAGCCCGGUCCUCCCUCCUGUCCCAAAUAGCAGAGGGAGCAGCUCUGGAUGUUAUAACCCAGCAGCGGAACCAUAUGCAGACACGUUUUCAUGGCCUGUCCAAGCCACAGGUGAGACGAUGACUAAAAUCCUGCUAACAUCGAACCGGAAAUUUAGUAUUUUGGCUUAAGGAAACCCGAAUGCCCAGAAGGUCUGCUGGGGAACAAAAAACCACAACAAACUACAAAAAAAAAUCAUAGAGGCUCCACAGUGACAUAAUUGUGUGACUUAGCAGCAGGGCUCCCACAAGGAAUAAGGAAUGCAUCCCACCAAACCAGUGAUUUAUUGCUGCAAACUCUGGCACAGACAGAGAGAUCCACGCUCCUGCAGACAACCCCUCAGCACAGACAGGUCAGCAAAUCCUGUCUUCUUCUAGGGAAUCACUCUUGUCAUGUCAAAACCCUUUCCUUACUCCCAGCGGCACAAGUCAGUGGAUGCCAGGGGGCGAAUGGGGCAUCGCUCUCCGUCAGAGCAUCUCCAGGUGUCCGUGUCUGCUGGGGCUAAGCCGAGCUGUGGUCCUGUGCCUUGGGGAAGGAGAGGAGUUCAGGUCGGUCUCAGCUUGGCUUAUAUCUUUUUGCACUACCAGUUAUGUGUAUUCAAAUCUUCUGUACUCAGAUGUCUACAAAAAAAUAAUAAAAUGCCCCUCCUCUGCUCAGGAUGUCUUUUAUAGUGUAACGUAAACAGCUACCCUGUAAUUACCAUGAAUAAUGCCACGACCAUUCCCUUGCAGUAAUACAGAUCAGUGCUCCCACCGCAAGCCCUGCAAACAAAUUUAUCAGCUGAGCUUCUCUGCAUUGGCAAGAUCCUUUGCGAUAUCACGCGUGAGCUGAAUUAGUAUUCUUGGGAUGGCAGGAAAUGCUUUUUCUUCCAACUAUUUCUGUGCGCAAGCAGGCUCUGGUGGUGCAGCUGACUCCGCCGAGCCUGGAGCACAAGGAACAGUUUUCCCCAUCUCCUUCAUCUGCGGCUUCGCUGAAGGCUGGAGCAUG